CCUACGGGAGGCAGCAGUGGGGGAUAUUGCACAAUGGGGGGAACCCUGAUGCAGCGACGCAGCGUGGGUGAAGAAGCGCCUCGGCGCGUAAAGCCCUGUCAGCAGGGAAGAAAAUGACGGUACCUGAAGAAGAAGCCCCGGCUAACUACGUGCCAGCAGCCGCGGUAAGACGUAGGGGGCAGGCGUUAUCCGGAUUUACUGGGCGUAAAGGGGGCGCAGACGGGGUUGCAAGCCAGGAGUGAAAGCCGGGGGCUCAACCGCGGGAUUGCCCUUGGAACUGCGAGGCUAGAGUUCAGGAGGGGCAGGCGGAAUUCCUGGUGUAGCGGUGAAAUGCGUAGAUAUCAGGAGGAACACCGGUGGCGAAGGCGGCCUGCUGGACUGCAACUGACGUUGAGGCCCGAAAGCGUGGGGAGCAAACAGGAUUAGAUACCCCUGUAGUC
RNAcentral lists this ribosomal RNA (440 nucleotides) under uncultured bacterium. RNAcentral's name for it is "partial 16S ribosomal RNA". It matches the Rfam family "Bacterial small subunit ribosomal RNA", at positions 338 to 795 of the family's 1533-position model. The record is from RNAcentral.